Molecule: long non-coding RNA, 1651 nt
Organism: Neofelis nebulosa (Clouded leopard)
Lineage: Eukaryota; Metazoa; Chordata; Mammalia; Carnivora; Felidae
Exons: 2
Source: RefSeq, a predicted model, not a curated record
GGCACACCUAUCUUCCAGGCUCCCAGGCUACAUACACUGCUUUUCACUGCAAAUGCCUUGAUCUUUCUUCCUGGUAGAAAACAGGACAAGUCUCAGUCUUGCAAGCACACAGAUCAGUUUCACCUCCUGUUUCCUCCAGACAGACCUGACUGAGCUCAUUAAUCGACCCAUGAGGCCCUACAAAGGGGAAGGGAUGGGGGGUGAGGGGAAACCCUCACUUGAGACUGAAGGUCUUGCCCUAUGGUGCAUAAGUUGCUUGCCUCGUCAUCCAUGUGGGCCACGUCCCUGUGGUGGGACAGCUUGGAUUGGCACGAGUUUCUACCCACUGGGUUACGCAUCUGGGAAGCUUCUAAAAAAUACCAGUGCCUACAGCCCUAGCAUAGGUAUUUUUCAGAAGCUUUCCCGGGUGAACUGAAUGGAAGGUCAGGGUUGAGACGCUUCAAGUGUGGGCAGAGGAAACCAGAAAAGCAGGGUCAGGAAGAGGAAGUCCAUGGUACCAGGGGCAAAGAUGAGAAGCGGACUGGCUCCCUGCAGGGGGAGUCUCCUCUCCUGCUGUCUCCAAUAGGAACCACUCCUGGCUGGCUGGCUGGCACACCAGGGACAAGUAACUGCUCAGAGUUGCAGGCCUGCACUUCUCUCACCCCGUGCACACGUGCACACAGCACUACUUGCAAGGUCAGCAGCUCUCCGAAGCCCCUGCAAAAAGAGCAGUCAGGGCAAGAACCCCUCUGUAAAGGGGGAAGGCAGGAGCAGUUUCUGACUCCAGUUGAGGACAGUGCCAUUAACAAGGAUCUGUGGCCACAAGCACGUGGCCACAGGACCUCCCCCCCCCCCCCCCCCCCCCCCCCGACUAGACACAUCCUGAACAUCAUCUGGAGGCUGGGGCUCCUUAAAAACUCACUUGUCUUUAAGUUUGAGCCUGUCCUCUCUCACCAUUUCUGUUCUUUAGAAGGGAAAAACCAUCAUAAGCACUCUCUGGUUAUCCCACCAAAGUAGCUCACAGAACAGAGUAAGUUCCUGCCUCCUCACAUCUCAGUUAAAGAGAUCAAGCCCUGUCUCCGCUGGAGACUCCUCAUUGGGUCUUCCUCUGAUGAUCCCCAGGGGACUCCUGUCCAGGAGUCAGGCAGGGGUUCUGUUUCCUGCCCGGAGGCCACUGCAAGUGCCCCCGGGAAGCUCAGCCACUCACAGCGGGCUGCCACUGCCCACUCUGCCCACAGUUGUGUCCCAGAAAGCCCCUGCCCGAGUCUGCACUCACCCCGGGCUUCAGCUGCAUGGCAUUCAGGCUGUCACGCCGGGCUGCUCUUGCUUUACUCAACACAAAGCUGUUUUCCCAAGACUUCAGCUGGCCUCCAGAAGGACCAAGUCGGGAACAGGCCCUGGUGUCCACCUGGGACCAGAAUCACUGGCCGGCCUUGGUGUGUGUCUGCCCCAGCGUAAUUCUAGAAACCUCACAGUUCUGUCACACAGAAGCCAGGCCUGUGGACACAGCAGCGUGGGAGACGGAGAGAGGAACUUUCCUGAAGCAGGCUGAGGGGAACGGCCUUGCUCAUCCAUCCAAGCUUAAGAUCUGGCUUGCCCACUGAAUAAAUCAGAUGUGAAACGUUUCUAGUUUUUCUGGCUCCCCCACAAAAUAAAGUCAGCAGAUGUGAAA